AGAACUGUUGUACAUGACAACGUGAAAGCAAACAAGAAUAUGAAUAAUUCCUUUUUUAUUUUUACCCCAAUUUUUUAUACCGUUAGUUGGCUGAUCCAAGCCUCUAUGUUCGCACAUAGCUUAUAUAUACAUGGAUCCAUUCCUCCGCCCAUCUAUCCAUAAAAGCCGCUCGCUUUGUUCGGUGGGUGAUAUCAGAAGCUCUAGAUCCUUACAUCCUCCAUCGACCUUUCGUGAUCCUGUUCUUCUCUCGAACAGUCGCUGUCUUCUCUUCUAUAAACGUGUGUGCGUGCCCGUUUAUUUAUUCAUUCUGUAUGUGGGUUUUCUAUCUAUGUGUUGGCUAGGGUUAGGUUGUCAUUGACAUGGCCAAUCUUCACUUCCGGUCUGAAACCUGAUGGAUCGACCUGUGCAUCCUGCAUCUUGCACUCGAGGGAAGAUAUACUUACAUUUUCGUUAAAUUGCUACAUGUUUUCUUGUCAAUGAUUAAGGUUUAAGAGAGCUUUCUUCAGUCCACUCAUGGGCGGCUGUAGGGUUUAAUUAGCUGCCGACUCAUUCAUCCAAAUACUGUGUUAGAAGGCGAUCAUACCCAGUAAAUGAGUGAAUGACGCGGGAGACAAAUUAAAUCUUAAGCUUCCUGUACUUGGACUGAAGGGAGCUCCCUUUCUCCUUUUCUUUGCUCUGUCGGUUCAAAUUUAUUUAUAUUAACAAAUUAAUAAUUAAAUACGAGUGGUUUGCUUUGUUACUGCUAAAGAUCACCAAUUAUUUUCACUUUUGGAACACAAAGUACGCUUCUGGUGAUGCUGAGUUAAUGUCACAUACUACUAAGUAUACAAAUUAACCAAAUCUUUUUGUAAGUUCCACAUUAAGACUAUCAUCAAUUUAAGUUUUUAGUCGUUAAUUAUCUUAUUUGGUAAUCCUGCAAUAGAAAGAUCAGGUGAUUUACCUCUGAAAAUCGUCAACAAAGGUAUGUUUGUGCAGACUGCAGAUCGAGAGCCUUCUCGCCCUUGUGCGUAAAUGACUGGUUUUCCUUGUCUUUUCUCUCUUUUGAUUAUCAUUAAUUAAGACUGCUUCUGGUAGGGUUAGUUAGUAAGGUAUUCUUGUUCUAGCUAUCUUUCUCCCAAAAAAUAUACCUCGGAACUAUUCUAUGAAUUACUGUUUUGCUUUUAAGUUUCGUUUACUGUUGUGAAUAUAGACUUGGGGUUCAGCCAAGGAGCAAUUAACGCUAAUGGAUCGUAUUUACGAGGCAGAGCUCGAGAAGCUCGUUAUCUGAUGCUCUAUGGCAACAGCAUGCGUCUUGGGUCUUGCUCUCUCACUGCAACAAGUUCCUAGACUUUUCCCUAACAGGUUACAAUUAAUUACCCAAAUAUCCACUCAAGUUCCAGCAACGGUGGUGCAGGAACAAGUUCCAAGGAUUUCAUUCGCACAUCUGUGGAAGUAUUUUCGUAUCCUCGGCGACGACCUUUUUUGACUGGAGGAGACAACAAUCUAACAGCGGUACCGGACUCUCGGCGCUCUCUGUGACAACGACUAUUGAGCUUUAGGAUUAAGCCACAAGCUGCCAGAGAUUGAUAAGGAUCCUUAAAGCAUUGUUAUUGGAUUAUGUACAUAUAAAAGAUACUGAAUAGAAGAUGAAUUCAGAAUUUAGUUAUUCUAUUUUA
Carya illinoinensis is the source of this 1655-nucleotide long non-coding RNA. RefSeq lists it as uncharacterized. NCBI's taxonomy places the organism in Eukaryota, Viridiplantae, Streptophyta, Magnoliopsida, Fagales, Juglandaceae. The transcript has 2 exons. The record is from RefSeq and is a predicted model, not a curated record.